GCCCGAGCGUAGCUGCUAAGCAGCUGCGAGAGCCCUAUUAUUCCCCAAGGGGUUUUUCUUUGUUUCUUUCUUUCUUUCUUUCUUCUUUUUCCUCCCCUUUGAACUGGAAAAUGGCCCACUUCCCACUGGCGAAAACUCAUGAAAUUUGGCAGGACGACCGGGCCUGGUGAAAAAUUUGAUAUUCCGAAGUCGCCCAAACAAGAAAAUGCAAAAUGGCUCCAUAGCGCCCCCUAAGGUGAAAAUUCACACUAUUGACUGUCACGCCUGUACGCUUUGUCAAAAUGACACAAAAAUUGACACACACAUGUAUCUCAAUAAGAUCUACAAAAAAGUCAGUGCGGGCGUAUCUGUCAAAUGUACGGUUAAAGGGUUAUUUCGCAUUUUUUGCCGAUCCGCACACAUUGGAAUUUCGCUAACUCCUCCGAAGGCUUUCGUUCCACCGGCACCACAUUUGCUCGGGCCAAUCUACACCCCAUGGCCAUUAAAAGUUAUUCAAAUCAUGAUGCUGCACCCCACGGUUUAGGUUCUAGGGGGCGCCAAAGAUAACCCUAAGAUCCACAUAUUUAAAAGUCUUAUAACUUUUUAUUUUUGCCCUCACUGGCCUCCAAGUUUUCUAGGAUGAUGCAAUGUCCAGCCAUCAACACAUUUGUGAAGGAAUUUUUACUCCCCAAAAUAGCGCCCCCCUAUGGCAGGAGAAAAAAGUCCAUUUUUUCUUGUCCCCUAAGGUGAAAAUACACAUUGUUGGGUUUAACACCUGUACGCUUUGGCAAAAUGACACAAAAAUUGACACACACAUGUAUCUCAAUAAGAUCUACGAAAAAGUCAAUGCGCGCGUAUCUGUCAAAUGUACGGUGAAAGGGUUAUUCCGCAUUUUUUGCCGAUCCGCACACAUUGGAAUUUCGCUAACUCCUCCGAAGGCUUUCGUUCCACCGGCACCACAUUUGCUCAGGCCAAUCUACACCCCAUGGCCAUUAAAAGUUAUUCAAAUCAUGACGCUGCACCCCACGGUUUAGGUUCUAGGGGGCGCCAAAGAUAACCCUAAAAUCCACAUAUUUAAAAGUCUUAUAACUUUUUAUUUUUGUCCUCACUGGCCUCCAAGUUUUCUAGGAUGAUGCAAUGUCCAGCCAUCAACACAUUUGUGAAGGAAUUUUUACUCCCCAAAAGAGCGCCCCCCCCCAUGGCAGGAGAAAAAAGUCAAUUUUUUCUUGUCCCCUAAGGUGGAAAUUCACACUAUUGACUGUCACGCCUGUACGCUUUAUCAUAUUGACACAAAAAUUGACACACAUAUGUAUCUCAAUAAUAUCUACAAAAAAGUCAAUGCGCGCGUAUCUGUCAAAUGUACGGUUAAAGGGUUAUUCCGCAUUUUUUGCCGAUUCGCACACAUUGGAAUGUGGCUAACUCCUCCUAAGGCUUUCGUCCCACUGACACCAAAUUUGCUCAGGCCAAUCUACACCCCAUGGCCAUUCAAAGUUGUAAAAAUCAUGACGCUGCACCCCACGGUUUACGUUCUAGGGGGCGCCAAAGAUGACCCAAAAAUCCACAUUCUUAAAAGAAUCCACAUCCCCCCCCCCCCCCAAGGCAGGAGAAAAACUCAAGUUAACCCUGCCCAUCGCUCAAUGGCUCAAUCGCAUCGCUCUCCAGGCAACACCGUAAGGAGGAGCAACCUGCCAUUUCGAUAUAUCAUAGCUGUGUUUGUGCCCUCACUCAUGGUCCAGACUUUUUUCAAAUAGGACAUGAAGUUUGUCUGCAGCGAGUGUUUUGGUAGAAACUGCGCCUCCCAUUCAUUAUAAUGGGAAAUGACCACAGACAAGUGCGCACACCAUCUUUGGACCUUGAGUGUGACGCGAUCGGGAGGGGGAGGCGGUCGCGCUGGGGGCGGCGCGACGCGGCUCGGGCCCGACAGUGCCCCACCGGGGCCCUAGUUCUUAUUUUUCCUCCUCUUUGAAGGGGAAAAUGGCCCACUUCCCACUGGCGAAAACUCAUGAAAUUUGGCAGGACGACCAGGCCUGGUGAAAAAUUCGAUAUUUUGAAGUCGCCCAAAUAAUAAAAUGCAAAAUGGCUCCAUAGCGCCCCCUAAGGUGAAAAUUCACACUAUUGACUGUCACGCCUGUACGCUUUGUCAUAUUGACACAAAAAUUGACACACACAUGUAUCUCAAUAAGAUCUACAAAAAAGUCAGUGCGGGAAUAUCUGUCAAAUUUACGGUUAAAGGGUUAUUUCACAUUUUUUGCCGAUCCGCACACAUUGGAAUUUCGCUAACUCCUCCGAAGGCUUUCGUUCCACCGGCACCACAUUUGCUCAGGCCAAUCUACACUCCAUGGCCAUUAAAAGUUGUACAAAUCAUGACGCUGCACCCCACGGUUAAGGUUCUAGAUGGCGCAAAAUAUAACCCAAAAAUCCACAGCCUUGAAAGUCUUAUAACUUUUUAUUUUUUUCCUCACUGGCCUCCAAGUUUUCUAGGAUUAUGCAAUGUCCAGCCAUCAACACAUUUGUGAAGGAAUUUUUACUCCCCAAAAGAGCGCCCCCCCAUGGCAGGAGAAAAAAGUCCAUUUUUUCUUGUCCCCUAAGGUGAAAAUUCACAUUGUUGAGUGUCACGCCUGUACGCUUUGUCAUAUUGACACAAAAUUUGACAAUCACGUGUAUCUGAAUAAGAUCUACGAAAAAGUAAAUUCGCGCAUAUCUGUAAAAUGUACGGUUAAAGGGCUAUUUAGCAUUUUUUGCCGAUUCGCACACAUUGGAAUGUGGCUAACUCCUCCUAAGGUCUUCGUCCCACUGACACCAAAUUUGCUCAGGCCAAUCUACACGCGAUGGCCAUUCAAAGUUGUAAAAAUCAUGACGCUGCACCCCACGGUUUACGUUCUAGGGGGCGCCAAAGAUGACCCAAAAAUCCACAUUCCACACAUUGGAAUGUGGCUAACUCCUCCUAAAGCUUUCGUCCCACCAACACCAAAUUUGCUCAGGCCAAUCUACACCCCAUGGCCUUUCAAAGUUGUACAAAUCAUGACGCUGCACCCCACGGUUUAGGUUCAAGGGGGCGCCAGAGAGGACCCAAAUAUCCACAUUCUUAAAAGUCUUGUAACUUUUUAUUUUUGUCCUCACUGGCCUCCAAGUUUUCUAGGAUGAUGCAAUGUUCAGCCAUCAACACAUUUGUGAAGGAAUUUUUACUCCCCAAAAGAGCGCCCCCCUAUGGCAGUAGAAAAAGUCAAGUUUUUCCUGCCCAUCACUCAAUGGCUCAAACGCAUCGCUCUCUCGGCAAAACCGAAAGGAGGAGCAACUUGCCAUUUGGAUAUAUACUAGCUGUGUUUGUGCCCUCACUCAUGGUCCAGACUUUUUUCAAAAAGGGCCAGGAGUUUGUCUGCAGCGAGCGUUUUGGUAGAAACUGCGCCUCCCAUCCAUUAUAAUGGUAAAUGACCACAGACAAGUGCGCACACCAUCUUUGGACCUUGAGUGUGACGGGAUCGGGAGGGGGAGGCGGUCCCGCUGGGGGUGGCGCAACAUGGCUCGGGCCCGCCAGUGCCCCAACGGGGCCCUAGUUAGGGCCCGAGCGUAGCUGCUAAGCAGCUGCGAGAGCCCUCUUGUUCCUGCAUGUUUCCUUCUUUUGUUAUUAGGGCCCGAGCGUAGCUGCUAAGCAGCUGCGAGAGCCCUCUUGUUCCUGAUGGAUUCUUCUUUCGUUAUUUUUCCUCCGCUUUAAACUGGAAAAUGGCCCACUUCCCACUGGCGAAAACUCAGGAAAUUUGGCAGGACGACCGGGCCUGGUGAAAAAUUCGAUAUUCUGAAGUCGCCCAAACAAAAAAAUGAAAAAUGGCUCCAUAGCGCCCCCUAUGGUGAAAACUCACCUGACGCCUGUACGCUUUGUCAAAAUGACACAAAAAUUGACACACAUGUGUAUCUCAAUAAGAUCUACAAAAAAGUCAGUGCGGGCGUAUCUGUCAAAUGUACCGUUAAAGGGCUAUUUCGCAUUUUUUGCCGAUCCGCACACAUUGGAAUUUCGCUAACUCCUCCGAAGGCUUUCCUUCCACCGGCACCAAAUUUGCUCAGGCCAAUCUACACCCCAUGGCCAUUAAAAGUUGUACAAAUCAUGACGCUGCACCCCACGGUUUAGGUUCUAGGGGGCGCCAAAGAUAACCCAAAAAGCCACAUUCUUAAAAGUCUUAUAACUUUUUAUUUUUGUCCUCACUGGCCUCCAAGUUUUCUAGGAUGAUGCAAUGUCCAGCCAUCAACACAUUUGUGAAGGAAUUUUUACUCCCCAAAAGAGCGCCCCCCCAUGGCAGUAGAAAAAAGUCCAUUUUUUCUUGUCCCCUAAGGUGAAAAUACACAUUGUUGAGUGUCACGCCUAAACGCUUUGUCAUAUUGACACAAAAUUUGACAAUCACGUGUAUCUCAAUAAGAUCUACGAAAAAGUCAAAGAGCGCGUAUCUGUAUAAUGUACGGUAAAAGGGCUAUUUUGCAUUUUUUGCCGAUCCGCACACAUUGGAAUUUCACUAACUCCUCCGAAGGCUUUCAUUCCACCGACACCAAAUUUGCUCAGGCCAAUCUACACCCCAUGGCCAUUAAAAGUUGUACAAAUCAUGAUGCUGCACCCCACGGUUUACGUUCUAGGGGGCGCCAAAGAUGACCCAAAUAUCCACAUUCUUAAAAGUCUUAUAACUUUUUAUUUUUGUCCUCACUGGCCUCCAAGUUUUCUUGGACGAUGCAAUGUCCAGCCAUCAACACAUUUGUGAAGGAAUUUUUACUCCCCAAAAGAGCGCCCCCCAUGGCAGGAGAAAAAAGUCCAUUUUUUCUUGUCCCCUAAGGUGAAAAUACGCACUGUUGAGUGUCACGCCUGUACGCUUUGUCAAAAUGACACAAAAAUUGACACACACAUGUAUCUCAAUAAGAUCUACGAAAAAGUCAAUGCACGCGUAUCUGUCAAAUGUACGGUUAAAGGGUUAUUCCGCAUUUUUUGCUGAUCCGCACACAUUGGAAUGUGGCUAACUCCUCUGAAGGCUUUCGUUCCAUCGGCACCAAAUUUGCUCAGGCCAAUCUACACCCCAUGGCCAUUGAAAGUUAUUCAAAUCAUGACGCUGCACCCCACAGUUUACGUUCUAGGGGGCGCCAAAGAUGACACAAAUAUCCACAUAUUUAAAAGUCUUAUAACUUUUUAUUUUCGUCCUCACUGGCCUCCAAGUUUUCUAGGAUGAUGCAAUGUCCAAAUAUCCACAUUCUUAAAAGAAUCUACAUCCCCCCCCCCAUCCCCCAAGUUUUUCCUGCCCAUCACUCAAUGGCUCAAUCGCAUCGCUCUCCCGGCAACACCGUAAUGAGGAGCAACUUGCCGUUUGGAUAUAUCCUAGCUGUGUUUGUGCCCUCACUCAUGGUCCAGACUUUUUUCAAAUAGGACAUGUAGUUUGUCUGCAGCGAGUGUUUUGGUAGAAACUGCGCCUCCCAUUCAUUAUAAUGGGAAAUGACCACAGACAAGUGCGCACACCAUCUUUGGACCUUGAGUGUGACGCGAUCGGGAGGGGGAGGCGGUCGCGCUGGGGGCGGCUCGACGCGGCUCGGGCCCGACAGUGCCCCACCGGGGCCCUAGUUAUUAUUAUUAUUUUUCCUCCCCUUUGAACUGGAAAAUGGCCCACUUCCCACUGGCGAAAACUCAUGAAAUUUGGCAGGACUACCGGGCCUGGUGAAAAAUUUGAUAUUCCGAAGUCGCCCAAACAAGAAAAUGCAAAAUGGCUCCAUAGCGCCCCCUAAGGUGAAAAUUCACACUAUUGACUGUCACGCCUGUACGCUUUGUCAAAAUGACACAAAAAUUGACACACACAUGUAUCUCAAUAAGAUCUACAAAAAAGUCAAUGCGCGCGUAUCUGUCAAAUGUACGGUUAAAGGGUUAUUUCGCAUUUUUUGCCGAUCCGCACACAUCGGAAUUUCGCUAACUCCUCCGAAGGCUUUCGUUCCACCGGCACCACAUUUGCUCAGGCCAAUCUACACCCCAUGGCCAUUUAAAGUUAUUCAAAUCAUGACGCUGCACCCCACGGUUUAGGUUCUAGGGGGCGCCAAAGAUAACCCUAAGAUCCACAUAUUUAAAAGUCUUAUAACUUUUUAUUUUUGCCCUCACUGGCCUCCAAGUUUUCUAGGAUGAUGCAAUGUCCAGCCAUCAACACAUUUGUGAAGGAAUUUUUACUCGCCAAAAGAGCGCCCCCCCCCCCCAUGGCAGGAGAAAAAAGUCCAUUUUUUCUUGUCCCCUAAGGUGAAAAUACACAUUGUUGAGUGUCACGCCUGUACGCUUUGGCAAAAUGACACAAAAAUUGACACACACAUGUAUCUCAAUAAGAUCUACAAAAAAGUCAGUGCGGGCGUAUCUGUCAAAUGUACGGUUAAAGGGUUAUUGCGCAUUUUUUGCCGAUCCGCACACAUUGGAAUUUCGCUAACUCCUCCGAAGGCUUUCGUUCCACCGGCACCACAUUUGCUCAGGCCAAUCUACACCCCAUGGCCAUUAAAAGUUAUUCAAAUCAUGACGCUGCACCCCACGGUUUAGGUUCUAGGGGGCGCCAAAGAUAACCCUAAAAUCCACAUAUUUCAAAGUCUUAUAACUUUUUAUUUUUGCCCUCACUGGCCUCCAAGUUUUCUAGGAUGAUGCAAUGUCCAGCCAUCAACACAUUUGUGAAGGAAUUUUUACUCCCCAAAAGAGCGCCCCCCCAUGGCAGGAGAAAAAAGUCCAUUUUUUCUUGUCCCCUAAGGUGAAAAUACGCACUGUUGAGUGUCACGCCUGUACGCUUUGUCAAAAUGACACAAAAAUUGACACACACAUGUAUCUCAAUAAGAUCUACGAAAAAGUCAAUGCACGCGUAUCUGUCAAAUGUACGGUUAAAGGGUUAUUCCGCAUUUUUUGCUGAUCCGCACACAUUGGAAUGUGGCUAACUCCUCUGAAGGCUUUCGUUCCAUCGGCACCAAAUUUGCUCAGGCCAAUCUACACCCCAUGGCCAUUGAAAGUUAUUCAAAUCAUGACGCUGCACCCCACAGUUUACGUUCUAGGGGGCGCCAAAGAUGACACAAAUAUCCACAUAUUUAAAAGUCUUAUAACUUUUUAUUUUCGUCCUCACUGGCCUCCAAGUUUUCUAGGAUGAUGCAAUGUCCAAAUAUCCACAUUCUUAAAAGAAUCUACAUCCCCCCCCCCCCAUCCCCCAAGUUUUUCCUGCCCAUCACUCAAUGGCUCAAUCGCAUCGCUCUCCCGGCAACACCGUAAUGAGGAGCAACUUGCCGUUUGGAUAUAUCCUAGCUGUGUUUGUGCCCUCACUCAUGGUCCAGACUUUUUUCAAAUAGGACAUGUAGUUUGUCUGCAGCGAGUGUUUUGGUAGAAACUGCGCCUCCCAUUCAUUAUAAUGGGAAAUGACCACAGACAAGUGCGCACACCAUCUUUGGACCUUGUGUGUGACGCGAUCGGGAGGGGGAGGCGGUCGCGCUGGGGGCGGCUCGACGCGGCUCGGGCCCGACAGUGCCCCACCGGGGCCCUAGUUAUUAUUAUUAUUUUUCCUCCCCUUUGAACUGGAAAAUGGCCCACUUCCCACUGGCGAAAACUCAUGAAAUUUGGCAGGACUACCGGGCCUGGUGAAAAAUUUGAUAUUCCGAAGUCGCCCAAACAAGAAAAUGCAAAAUGGCUCCAUAGCGCCCCCUAAGGUGAAAAUUCACACUAUUGACUGUCACGCCUGUACGCUUUGUCAAAAUGACACAAAAAUUGACACACACAUGUAUCUCAAUAAGAUCUACAAAAAAGUCAAUGCGCGCGUAUCUGUCAAAUGUACGGUUAAAGGGUUAUUUCGCAUUUUUUGCCGAUCCGCACACAUCGGAAUUUCGCUAACUCCUCCGAAGGCUUUCGUUCCACCGGCACCACAUUUGCUCAGGCCAAUCUACACCCCAUGGCCAUUUAAAGUUAUUCAAAUCAUGACGCUGCACCCCACGGUUUAGGUUCUAGGGGGCGCCAAAGAUAACCCUAAGAUCCACAUAUUUAAAAGUCUUAUAACUUUUUAUUUUUGCCCUCACUGGCCUCCAAGUUUUCUAGGAUGAUGCAAUGUCCAGCCAUCAACACAUUUGUGAAGGAAUUUUUACUCCCCAAAAGAGCGCCCCCCCAUGGCAGGAGAAAAAAGUCCAUUUUUUCUUGUCCCCUAAGGUGAAAAUACACAUUGUUGAGUGUAACACCUGUACGCUUUGGCAAAAUGACACCAAAAUUGAGACACACAUGUAUCUCAAUAAGAUCUACAAAAAAGUCAAUGCGCACGUAUCUGUCAAAUGUACGGUUAAAGGGUUAUUCCGCAUUUUUUGCCGAUCCGCACACAUUGGAAUUUCGCUAACUCCUCCGAAGGCUUUCGUUCCACCGGCACCACAUUUUCUCAGGCCAAUCUACACCCCAUGGCCAUUAAAAGUUAUUCAAAUCAUGACGCUGCACCCCACGGUUUAGGUUCUAGGGGGCGCCAAAGAUAACCGUAAAAUCCACAUAUUUAAAAGUCUUAUAACUUUUUAUUUUUGUCCCCACUGGCCUCCAAGUUUUCUAGGAUGAUGCAAUGUCCAGCCAUCAACACAUUUGUGAAGGAAUUUUUACUCGCCAAAAGAGCGCCCCCCCAUGGCAGGAGAAAAAAGUCCAUUUUUUCUUGUCCACUAAGGUGAAAAUACACAUUGUUGAGUGCUACGCCUGUAUGUUUUGUCGUAUUGACACAAAAUUUUACAUACACGUGUCUUUCAAUAAGAUCUUCGAAAAAGUCAAUGGCCACGUAUCUGUAAAAUGUACGGUUAAAGGGUUAUUUCGCAUUUUUUGCAGAUUCGCACACAUUGGAAUU
RNAcentral lists this long non-coding RNA (8804 nucleotides) under Xyrichtys novacula (pearly razorfish). Lineage: Eukaryota; Metazoa; Chordata; Actinopteri; Labriformes; Labridae. The record is from RNAcentral.